AUACGUAGGUGGCGGGCGUUGUCCGGAAUUACUGGGCGUAAAGGGCGCGUAGGCGGCCUGUUAAGUCAGAUGUGAAACCCCCAGGCUCAACUUGGGGAUUGCAUAUGAAACUGAUGGGCUCGAGUGUCGGAGAGGAAAGCGGAAUUCCUAGUGUAGCGGUGAAAUGCGUAGAUAUUAGGAGGAACACCAGUGGCGAAGGCGGCUUUCUGGACGAUAACUGACGCUGAGGCGCGAAAGCGUGGGGAGCAAACAGGAUUAGAUACCCUGGUAGUCCACGCUGUAAACUAUGGAUACUAGGUGUGGGAGGUAUCGACCCCUUCCGUGCCGCAGUAAACGCAAUAAGUAUCCCGCCUGGGGAGUACGGCCGCAAGGUUGAAACUCAAAUGAAUUGACGGGG
Molecule: ribosomal RNA, 397 nt
Filed under: uncultured bacterium
Lineage: Bacteria
Description: partial 16S ribosomal RNA
Rfam family: Bacterial small subunit ribosomal RNA
Source: RNAcentral